AUUGAACGCUGGCGGCAGGCCUAACACAUGCAAGUCGAGCGGAUGAAGGGAGCUGGCUCCUGGAUUCAGCGGCGGACGGGUGAGUAAUGCCUAGGAAUCUGCCUGGUAGUGGGGGAUAACGUCCGGAAACGGGCGCUAAUACCGCAUACGUCCUGAGGGAAAAAGUGGGGGAUCUUCGGACCUCACGCUAUCAGAUGAGCCUAGGUCGGAUUAGCUAGUUGGUGGGGUAAAGGCCUACCAAGGCGACGAUCCGUAACUGGUCUGAGAGGAUGAUCAGUCACACUGGAACUGAGACACGGUCCAGACUCCUACGGGAGGCAGCAGUGGGGAAUAUUGGACAAUGGGCGAAAGCCUGAUCCAGCCAUGCCGCGUGUGUGAAGAAGGUCUUCGGAUUGUAAAGCACUUUAAGUUGGGAGGAAGGGCAGUAAGUUAAUACCUUGCUGUUUUGACGUUACCAAAAGAAUAAGCACCGGCUAACUUCGUG
Molecule: ribosomal RNA, 484 nt
Filed under: uncultured bacterium
Lineage: Bacteria
Description: partial 16S ribosomal RNA
Rfam family: Bacterial small subunit ribosomal RNA
Source: RNAcentral